AUUGAACGCUGGCGGCAGGCCUAACACAUGCAAGUCGAGCGGAUGAAGGGAGCUUGCUCCUGGAUUCAGCGGCGGACGGGUGAGUAAUGCCUAGGAAUCUGCCUGGUAGUGGGGGAUAACGUCCGGAAACGGGCGCUAAUACCGCAUCCGUCCUGAGGGAGAAAGGGGGGGAUCUUCGGACCUCACGCUAUCAGAUGAGCCUAGGUCGGAUUAGUUAGUUGGUGGGGUAAAGGCCUACCAAGGCGACGAUCCGUAACUGGUCUGAGAGGAUGAUCAGUCACACUGGAACUGAGACACGGUCCAGACUCCUACGGGAGGCAGCAGUGGGGAAUAUUGGACAAUGGGCGAAAGCCUGAUCCAGCCAUGCCGCGUGUGUGAAGAAGGUCUUCGGAUUGUAAAGCACUUUAAGUUGGGAGGAAGGGCAGUAAGUUAAUACCUUGCUGUUUUGACGUUACCAACAGAAUAAGCACCGGCUAACUUCGUG
RNAcentral lists this ribosomal RNA (484 nucleotides) under uncultured bacterium. RNAcentral's name for it is "partial 16S ribosomal RNA". It matches the Rfam family "Bacterial small subunit ribosomal RNA", at positions 30 to 507 of the family's 1533-position model. The record is from RNAcentral.